UGCAAGUCGAGCGGAAACGACUUAACUGAACCUUCGGGGAACGUUAAGGGCGUCGAGCGGCGGACGGGUGAGUAAUGCCUAGGAAAUUGCCUUGAUGUGGGGGAUAACCAUUGGAAACGAUGGCUAAUACCGCAUAAUGCCUUCGGGCCAAAGAGGGGGACCUUCGGGCCUCUCGCGUCAAGAUAUGCCUAGGUGGGAUUAGCUAGUUGGUGAGGUAAGGGCUCACCAAGGCGACGAUCCCUAGCUGGUCUGAGAGGAUGAUCAGCCACACUGGAACUGAGACACGGUCCAGACUCCUACGGGAGGCAGCAGUGGGGAAUAUUGCACAAUGGGCGCAAGCCUGAUGCAGCCAUGCCGCGUGUAUGAAGAAGGCCUUCGGGUUGUAAAGUACUUUCAGUCGUGAGGAAGGUUUCGUAGUUAAUAACUGCGUUGCUUGACGUUAGCGACAGAAGAAGCACCGGCUAACUCCGUGCCAGCAGCCGCGGUAAUACGGAGGGUGCGAGCGUUAAUCGGAAUUACUGGGCGUAAAGCGCAUGCAGGUGGUUCGUUAAGUCAGAUGUGAAAGCCCGGGGCUCAACCUCGGAAUUGCAUUUGAAACUGGCGGACUAGAGUACUGUAGAGGGGGGUAGAAUUUCAGGUGUAGCGGUGAAAUGCGUAGAGAUCUGAAGGAAUACCAGUGGCGAAGGCGGCCCCCUGGACAGAUACUGACACUCAGAUGCGAAAGCGUGGGGAGCAAACAGGAUUAGAUACC
This 751-nucleotide ribosomal RNA is filed under the name Vibrio sp. FCH-37. Its description in RNAcentral is "bacterial SSU rRNA". It matches the Rfam family "Bacterial small subunit ribosomal RNA", at positions 56 to 786 of the family's 1533-position model. The record is from RNAcentral. Lineage: Bacteria; Pseudomonadati; Pseudomonadota; Gammaproteobacteria; Vibrionales; Vibrionaceae.